This 253-nucleotide ribosomal RNA is filed under the name uncultured bacterium. RNAcentral's name for it is "partial 16S ribosomal RNA". It matches the Rfam family "Bacterial small subunit ribosomal RNA", at positions 524 to 776 of the family's 1533-position model. The record is from RNAcentral.
UACAGAGGGUGCAAGCGUUGUUCGGAAUUAUUGGGCGUAAAGCGCGUGUAGGCGGCAUUACAAGUCGGGUGUGAAAGCCCUCAGCUUAACUGAGGAAGUGCGCCCGAAACUGUAGAGCUUGAGUACCGGAGAGGAUGGUGGAAUUCCCCAAGUAGAGGUGAAAUUCGUAGAUAUGGGGAGGAACACCGGUGGCGAAGGCGACCAUCUGGACGGAUACUGACGCUGAGACGCGAAAGCGUGGGUAGCAAACAGG